RNAcentral lists this ribosomal RNA (431 nucleotides) under uncultured Opitutia bacterium. RNAcentral describes it as "bacterial SSU rRNA". It matches the Rfam family "Bacterial small subunit ribosomal RNA", at positions 9 to 418 of the family's 1533-position model. Lineage: Bacteria; Pseudomonadati; Verrucomicrobiota; Opitutia. The record is from RNAcentral.
GAGUUUGAUCCUGGCUCAGAAUGAACGCUGGCGGCGUGGUUAAGACAUGCAAGUCGAACGGCGUUUUCAGGUGUAGCAAUACAUUUUGAAAAGCAGUGGCGAACGGGUGCGUAACACGUGAACAAUCUACCUUUUAGUGUGGAAUAGCUCGGCGAAAGCCGGAUUAAUACCGCAUGUGGUUGUCCUUCUCCUGAAGGGCAUACUAAAGCUGGGGACCGUAAGGCCCAGCGCUAACAGAGGAGUUCGCGGCCUAUCAGCUAGUUGGCGAGGUAACGGCUCACCAAGGCUAAGACGGGUAGCUGAUCUGAGAGGAUGAUCAGCCACACUGGGACUGCGACACGGCCCAGACUCCUACGGGAGGCAGCAGUGGGGAAUAUUGGGCAAUGGGCGAAAGCCUGACCCAGCCACGCCGCGUGAGUGAUGAAGGCCUU